CCCUUAGAUGUUCUGGGCUGCACGCGCGCUACACUGAUGCAUUCAACGAGUUUUACCUUGGCCGAGAGGCCUGGGCAAUCUUUUAAACCUGCAUCGUGAUAGGGAUAGAUUAUUGCAAUUAUUAAUCUUGAACGAGGAAUUCCUAGUAAACGCAAAUCAUCAAUUUGCAUUGAUUACGUCCCUGCCCUUUGUACACACCGCCCGUCGCACCUACCGAUUGAAUGGUCCGGUGAAGCCUCGGGAUUGUGGCCAGUUCACUUUAUUGGGAGUUGGCUGCGAGAACUUGUCUAAACCUUAUCAUUUAGAGGAAGGUGAAGUCGUAACA
This 325-nucleotide ribosomal RNA is filed under the name uncultured eukaryote. RNAcentral's name for it is "partial 18S ribosomal RNA". It matches the Rfam family "Eukaryotic small subunit ribosomal RNA", at positions 1470 to 1796 of the family's 1831-position model. The record is from RNAcentral.